GAUGAACGCUGGCGGCGUGCCUAAUACAUGCAAGUCGAGCGAACGGACGAGAAGCUUGCUUCUCUGAUGUUAGCGGCGGACGGGUGAGUAACACGUGGAUAACCUACCUAUAAGACUGGGAUAACUUCGGGAAACCGGAGCUAAUACCGGAUAAUAUUAUGAACCGCAUGGUUCAAAAGUGAAAGACGGUCUUGCUGUCACUUAUAGAUGGAUCCGCGCUGCAUUAGCUAGUUGGUAAGGUAACGGCUUACCAAGGCAACGAUGCAUAGCCGACCUGAGAGGGUGAUCGGCCACACUGGAACUGAGACACGGUCCAGACUCCUACAGGAGGCAGCAGUAGGUAAUCUUCCGCAAUGGGCGAAAGCCUGACGGAGCAACGCCGCGUGAGUGAUGAAGGUCUUCGGAUCGUAAAACUCUGUUAUUAGGGAAGAACAUAUGUGUAAGUAACUGUGCACAUCUUGACGGUACCUAAUCAGAAAGCCACGGCUAACUACGUG
RNAcentral lists this ribosomal RNA (497 nucleotides) under uncultured bacterium. RNAcentral describes it as "partial 16S ribosomal RNA". It matches the Rfam family "Bacterial small subunit ribosomal RNA", at positions 28 to 507 of the family's 1533-position model. The record is from RNAcentral.